ACAUUUCUUUGAGUUUUAUAUUUAAGGUAUUCCCUGCCCUAUGAUUAUUUAAAUGGCUGCAGUAUAUUGACUGUGCAAAGGUAGCAAAAUAAUUAGUUCUUUAAUUGGGAACUGGUAUGAAUGGGUUAAUGAGAAAUUUAUUUUAUUAUUUUUAUUAUUUGAAUUUAAUUUUUGAGUUAAAAAGCUUAAUUUAAUAAUUGGGACGAGAAGACCCUAUAGAACUUAAUUAUGAACUGUUUUUUAUUUUUUGGUUAAUUUUUUAUUUUUAACUAUUUUUUAAUUUUACUGGGGUGGUAACUAAAUUAUAACUUUAGUUUUAUUUUUCAUUUUUUUUUGAUUUUUUUGAUCCUUAAAUUUAAGAUUAAAAGAUAAAGUUACCUUAGGGAUAACAGCGUUAUUUUAGUGGGGAGUUCAUAUUUAUACUAAAGUUUGCGACCUCGAUGUUGAAUUAAGAUAAAAUUUUGGGGUAGGUUCUAUUUUUUUAAGUCUGUUCGACUUUUAAAUUCUUACAUGAUCUG
Molecule: ribosomal RNA, 518 nt
Filed under: Nannicerus sp. DD05
Lineage: Eukaryota; Metazoa; Arthropoda; Insecta; Hemiptera; Cicadellidae
Description: partial large subunit ribosomal RNA
Rfam family: Bacterial large subunit ribosomal RNA (bases 385-518)
Source: RNAcentral